Molecule: ribosomal RNA, 426 nt
Filed under: uncultured bacterium
Lineage: Bacteria
Description: bacterial SSU rRNA
Rfam family: Bacterial small subunit ribosomal RNA
Source: RNAcentral
GGGGAAUAUUGCGCAAUGGGCGAAAGCCUGACGCAGCAACGCCGUGUGAGGGAUGAAGGCUUUCGGGUCGUAAACCUCUGUCGGAAGGGAAGAACGGGCAUUGGUCUAAUAGGCCUUUGUUUUGACGGUACCUUUAGAGGAAGCACCGGCUAACUCCGUGCCAGCAGCCGCGGUAAUACGGAGGGUGCAAGCGUUAUUCGGAAUUACUGGGCGUAAAGCGCACGUAGGCCGCUUUGUAAGUCAGGGGUGAAAUCCCACGGCUCAACCGUGGAACUGCCUUUGAAACUGCAGAGCUUGAAUCCUGGAGAGGGUGGCGGAAUUCCUGGUGUAGGAGUGAAAUCCGUAGAUAUCAGGAGGAACACCGGUGGCGAAGGCGGCCACCUGGACAGGCAUUGACGCUGAGGUGCGAAAGUGUGGGGAGCAAAC